Molecule: ribosomal RNA, 498 nt
Filed under: uncultured Anaerococcus sp.
Lineage: Bacteria; Bacillati; Bacillota; Tissierellia; Tissierellales; Peptoniphilaceae
Description: partial 16S ribosomal RNA
Source: RNAcentral
CACGUAAUUAGCCGGACCUUAUUCGUAUAGUACUGUCAUUUUCUUCCUAUACAAAAGAUUUUUACAACCCGAAGGCCUUCUAAAUCACGCGGCGUCGCUGCAUCAGGGUUUCCCCCAUUGUGCAAAAUUCCCCACUGCUGCCUCCCGUAGGGGUCUGGGCCGUGUCUCAGUCCCAAUGUGGCCGUACACUCUCUCAAGCCGGCUACUGAUCGUUGCCUUGGUGAGCUGUUAUCUCACCAACUAGCUAAUCAGACGCAAGUCCAUCUUACACCACUAAACAUUUUGACCAGAUUAUCAUGCGAUUGUCUGGUUUCAUAGGGUAUUAUUCUCCGUUUCCAGAGGCUAUCCUCUUGUGUAAGGCAGGUUACUCACGCGUUACUCACCCGUUCGCCACUAAUCCAUUCAUUUUCAUUCCGAAGAAUCUAAUGAGUUUUCAUCGUUCGACUUGCAUGUGUUAUGCACGCCGCCAGCGUUAAUCCUGAGCCAGGAUCAAACUCU